GGGGAAUAUUGCGCAAUGGGGGAAACCCUGACGCAGCAACGCCGCGUGAAGGAAGAAGGCCUUCGGGUUGUAAACUUCUUUAGUCGGGGACGAAUGGAUGACGGUACCCGAAGAAUAAGCCACGGCUAACUACGUGCCAGCAGCCGCGGUAAUACGUAGGUGGCGAGCGUUGUCCGGAAUUACUGGGUGUAAAGGGCGUGUAGGCGGGUUGUCAAGUCAGAUGUGAAAUUCCAGAGCUCAACUCUGGCGCUGCAUCUGAAACUGAUGAUCUUGAGUACUGGAGAGGGAAGCGGAAUUCCUAGUGUAGCGGUGAAAUGCGUAGAUAUUAGGAGGAACACCAGUGGCGAAGGCGGCUUUCUGGACAGUAACUGACGCUGAGGCGCGAAAGCGUGGGGAGCGAAC
RNAcentral lists this ribosomal RNA (402 nucleotides) under uncultured bacterium. RNAcentral describes it as "bacterial SSU rRNA". It matches the Rfam family "Bacterial small subunit ribosomal RNA", at positions 356 to 773 of the family's 1533-position model. The record is from RNAcentral.